This 713-nucleotide ribosomal RNA is filed under the name uncultured bacterium. RNAcentral describes it as "bacterial SSU rRNA". It matches the Rfam family "Bacterial small subunit ribosomal RNA", at positions 8 to 722 of the family's 1533-position model. The record is from RNAcentral.
AGAGUUUGAUCAUGGCUCAGAUUGAACGCUGGCGGCAUGCUUUACACAUGCAAGUCGAACGGGCCGGGGGCAACUCCGGUCAGUGGCGAACGGGUGAGUAAUGCAUCGGAACGUACCCCGUAGUGGGGGAUAACGCCGCGAAAGCGGCGCUAAUACCGCAUAUGCUCUACGGAGGAAAGUGGGGGACCGCAAGGCCUCACGCUAUGGGAGCGGCCGAUGUCCGAUUAGCUUGUUGGUGGGGUAAUGGCCUACCAAGGCGACGAUCGGUAGCUGGUCUGAGAGGAUGAUCAGCCACACUGGGACUGAGACACGGCCCAGACUCCUACGGGAGGCAGCAGUGGGGAAUUUUGGACAAUGGGCGCAAGCCUGAUCCAGCCAUGCCGCGUGCGGGAAGAAGGCCUUCGGGUUGUAAACCGCUUUUAGUCGGAAAGAAAAGGCGGAGGCUAAUACCCUCCGUUCUUGACGGUACCGGCGGAAUAAGCACCGGCUAACUACGUGCCAGCAGCCGCGGUAAUACGUAGGGUGCGAGCGUUAAUCGGAAUUACUGGGCGUAAAGCGUGCGCAGGCGGUUCGUUGUGUCUGAUGUGAAAGCCCCGGGCUCAACCUGGGAAUGGCAUUGGAAACUGGCGGACUGGAGUGUGGCAGAGGGGGGUGGAAUUCCGCGUGUAGCAGUGAAAUGCGUAGAGAUGCGGAGGAACACCGAUGGCGAAGGC